This 1614-nucleotide long non-coding RNA is filed under the name Sus scrofa (pig). RNAcentral describes it as "lncRNA (ENSSSCG00035066844.1)". Lineage: Eukaryota; Metazoa; Chordata; Mammalia; Artiodactyla; Suidae. The record is from RNAcentral.
UCCUCAUGGACCCAGAAGGGCGAGUGCCACCCCAGCUCAAGACCAGUAUCCCAGUCCCUUCCCGGGAGGGCAUCCUCCUCACUGCACUCACGUGUUUCCUUGGAUGCCUCUGAUUUUACACCUGAAUUGAGACCCAGGGGCUUUGACAAGUUUGGAAGCUGAAACAUAAAGAGACAAGGAGCUGAGGCCAAAGAAAGAAGGGUAUCUAUUUUCCCUCGAGCAUCUACCUGCCAGGCUGAAGAGCUGCCUGCGCUUAGGGGAGCAGCCUGUGCGUUCUGAGUCGCCCUGCGGGAUUUGCGGCACCUGCAGCAAGAGCUUUUCCGCGCACGCGCAGGAGCGCCCUGACGUCCUCGCCGCCCAGCCUGGCUUCCUCCCUGCACACCGUUCACACCGGUCCCCUUCACACCGAUUCCUGUGAAGCCGGCGGAGUCCUGGUCUCUGUGCUCCUCUUACUCACCUCUAUGGACGGCGGGGACCACGGAGCAGCCAUUCCUGCCUGCGACUCCUCUGAAGCACCCCAGCUAAUAAAUGAAGACAGACAGAGAGAAUUAGAACACCACACUUUGUAACCACCAGUGAACUAAAGGAUUUGGCAAUGAUCGUCAAAAACUGCUGAUAUCACAAAAAAAAGAGAGCGACAACAAAUAUUAUGUUCUCCCAAUGGAUGUCCAUAAUAUCAUCUACAAAAUGUUCUUGCCAAAAUAGUUAAUUUGAGCCUGAGGAAGCCUCUUGAUUUUUCAUUUACAGGCAACCCAAGGGAUGGAGGCCCAUGAUAAAUGAUACGAUAGUAACGUGAUCAGCAAAACCCAGCCAGGAAAUGAUGAGUCAGGAAAACCAACCAAGUUCUUGAAGGACCAAAAAACUGCAAAAUGAGAUAAUAAGAGAUUGAAAGACGGGAAUCGAUAGAUGCAAAGGGAUGAACAUAAGGGACCUGUUUAUCCAUGACAAUGUGAGGAGUUUGUUUGGAUUCCAAUUUAAACUAUAAAAAUAUUUAUAGGACCACUGAGGAAAUGUGAGCACUGUUUGGAUAGGUGGUUCUACUGAAGAACUAUUGCUGGCGCUUUUGGAGUACAAUGAUGGCAUCAUGGUCACGUCUUUCAAGAGGGAGGAUUUGUUCUUUAUAGACUUGUUUUUUAGGCCUCUGGAUGGCGGCGUUGGUAGCUGUAAUGAUAAGUGUCCAGCAGAAUACCAAGUAUUGGUUAUCACUUCCCAGGAACAGACCACUGUGCCUGGGUUUCCAGUCCCAGAGGAGAACGCCUUACACAGAGAAGAAAUAGCAUGGCCUCAGGUCUCUCCCAGCAGCCAGUGCAGGGCAGUUCCCCCACACGUACGCCUUUCAGGGUGGAAGGACCCCAACUCCUCUUCCAUGGAGAGGCUGUCGUACUGAAGGCUGGGAACGUGCCUGGGCGGGGGGGGGGGGGGGGGGGGGGGGGGGGGGCAGCACUGUGCUCACUCCGGCAGAACAAAGGAGGACUCGGGGAGCCUGAAACAGGGAAAGCUAUUCCCACAUAAGGUGAUAAGCCCAUUGUGGCACAGUGGAAACAAAUCUGACUGGUAUCCAUGAGGAUGCGCCUUUGAUCCAUGGCCUCAAUCAGUGGGCUGGGGAUCCGGCGC